CAGUAGCCGCGGUAAUACGGAGGGGGCUAGCGUUGUUCGGAAUCACUGGGCGUAAAGCGCACGUAGGCGGCUUUGCAAGUCAGAGGUGAAAGCCCGGGGCUCAACCCCGGAUGUGCCUUUGAGACUGUGAGGCUUGAACGUCGGAGAGGUGAGUGGAAUUCCGAGUGUAGAGGUGAAAUUCGUAGAUAUUCGGAAGAACACCAGUGGCGAAGGCGGCUCACUGGGCGACUGUUGACGCUGAGGUGCGAAAGCGUGGGGAGCAAACAGGAUUAGAUACCCGGGUAGUCCCUGUCUCUUAUAC
Molecule: ribosomal RNA, 301 nt
Filed under: uncultured bacterium
Lineage: Bacteria
Description: partial 16S ribosomal RNA
Rfam family: Bacterial small subunit ribosomal RNA
Source: RNAcentral